Molecule: non-coding RNA, 770 nt
Filed under: Drosophila virilis
Lineage: Eukaryota; Metazoa; Arthropoda; Insecta; Diptera; Drosophilidae
Description: Eukaryotic large subunit ribosomal RNA
Rfam family: Eukaryotic large subunit ribosomal RNA
Source: Rfam by way of RNAcentral
CAACCUCAACUCAUAUGGGACUACCCCCUGAAUUUAAGCAUAUUAAUUAGGGGAGGAAAAGAAACUAACAAGGAUUUUCUUAGUAGCGGCGAGCGAAAAGAAAUCAGUUCAGCACUAAGUCACUUUGUCUAUAUGGCAAAUGUGAGAUGCAGUGUACGGAACAUCAACAUUCUAGUAUGAGAAGUUAACGAUUUAAGUCCUUCUUAAAUGAGGCCAUUUACCCAUAGAGGGUGCCAGGCCCGUAUAACGUUAAUGAUUACUAGAUGGUGUUUCCAAAGAGUCGUGUUGCUUGAUAGUGCAGCACUAAGUGGGUGGUAAACUCCAUCUAAAACUAAAUAUAACCAUGAGACCGAUAGUAAACAAGUACCGUGAGGGAAAGUUGAAAAGAACUCUGAAUAGAGAGUUAAAUAGUACGUGAAACUGCUUAAAGGUUAAGCCCGAUGAACCUGAAUAUCCGUUAUGGAAAAUUCAUCAUUAGAAUUGUAAUAUUUUAAACAAUAUUAUAAUAAUAGUGUGCAUUUUUUCCAUAUAAGUGCAUUGUAAUCUAUUAGCAUAAAUAUUUAUCAUAAAAUUAUGUCUGAUUGCUUAUUUGAAUUAUAUGCUUGGCAUUUUAACAUAAAAUAAAAGAUAUAAAUUUGAUAAAGUGCUGAUAGAUUUAUAUGAUUACAGUGCGUUAAUUUUUCGGAAUUAUAUAAUGGCAUAAUUAUAAUUGAUAUUUGUGUUUAUUAUAUGCAUUUGUAUGAUUAACAAUGCGAAAGAUUCAGGAUACC